Molecule: non-coding RNA, 186 nt
Filed under: Halalkalibacter akibai JCM 9157
Lineage: Bacteria; Bacillati; Bacillota; Bacilli; Caryophanales; Bacillaceae
Description: Bacillus akibai JCM 9157 6S / SsrS RNA
Rfam family: 6S / SsrS RNA
About the family: E. coli 6S RNA was the first non coding RNA to be sequenced, but its function was unknown until recently. It consists of 184 nucleotides that fold into an extended hairpin structure with a large single-stranded internal bulge. The 6S RNA specifically associates with RNA polymerase holoenzyme containing the sigma70 specificity factor.
Source: Rfam by way of RNAcentral
AGUUGCCUGCCGUGUUAGUCAGCUUCUACUUGUUUCGAACCUUGAAUUUUCAAAGGGAGUUCUAAAUUGAACAUCUGCCAACAUGCCGGUCGUUAAAAUCCGGAAGUUGAACGAGGUUCUGCGAACACCCACCUACUUACAGUAGGUUCAUGAAACAACUGAAGCAACGGCAUACGCGGGUUACGA